This 273-nucleotide ribosomal RNA is filed under the name uncultured bacterium. RNAcentral describes it as "partial 16S ribosomal RNA". It matches the Rfam family "Bacterial small subunit ribosomal RNA", at positions 82 to 354 of the family's 1533-position model. The record is from RNAcentral.
CUUCCGCCGGCGACCGGCGCACGGGUGAGUAACACGUAUGCAACCUGCCCCUGUCAGGGGGACAACCCGCCGAAAGGCGGGCUAAACCCGCGUACAUGCCACCGGGGCAUCCCGGAGGCAGGAAAGGCUUCGGCCGGACAGGGAUGGGCAUGCGUCGCAUUAGUUAGUUGGCGGUGUAACGGACCACCAAGACGACGAUGCGUAGGGGUUCUGAGAGGAAGGUCCCCCACACUGGUACUGAGACACGGACCAGACUCCUACGGGAGGCAGCAG